ACGAAGUUAAAAAUAUGGACCCUGGGAUAGAAGAAAUGAAUACGAAGAAGGAGCCUCCAGGUCACAGCGGGACAUCACAAAAAAAAGCAGCAUCUCCUGUUCCCAGCUGUGUGUCUCUGAAGAGUAACUGGUCCAAGCUGGAUCCUCCAGACUUUAGCAAUGAGCCUGGACCUCCAGAAACACAAGAGAGAAGACUGCUUGAAGAUGAUGAUUCAGAAGUGGUUCAUGAACUCUGUCCUUUAUGUAAGAACAAAGGGAGUGAUCCUGUCUGGACCAACUGUGGUCAUUGGUUCAAUAGACCUUAUGUCAUAAUAGUGCCAGUGUUCACUAGUGUUCACACUAGUGAUGGGUCGGUC
Molecule: long non-coding RNA, 356 nt
Filed under: Neogobius melanostomus (round goby)
Lineage: Eukaryota; Metazoa; Chordata; Actinopteri; Gobiiformes; Gobiidae
Description: lncRNA (ENSNMLG00000013711.1)
Source: RNAcentral